This 406-nucleotide ribosomal RNA is filed under the name uncultured bacterium. Its description in RNAcentral is "partial 16S ribosomal RNA". It matches the Rfam family "Bacterial small subunit ribosomal RNA", at positions 30 to 526 of the family's 1533-position model. The record is from RNAcentral.
AUUGAACGCUGGCGGCAGGCUUAACACAUGCAAGUCGAACGAGUGGCGGACGGGUGAGUAAUGCUUGGGAAUCUAGCUGAUGGAGGGGGAUAACUACGGGAAACUGUAGCUAAUACCGCGUACCAUAGGAUGAGCCCAGGUGGGAUUAGGUAGUUGGUGGGGUAAAGGCUCACCAAGCCGACGAUCUCUAGCUGGUCUGAGAGGAUGACCGGCCACACUGGGACUGAGACACGGCCCAGACUCCUACGGGAGGCAGCAGUGGGGAGUAUUGCGCAAUGGGCGCAACCCUGACGCAGCCAUGCCGCGGGAAUGAAGAAGGGCUUCGGGUUGUAAAGUACUUUCAGUCGGGAGGCGUUACCGACAGAAGAAGCACCGGCUAACUCCGUGCCAGCCGCCGCGGUAAUAC